This 494-nucleotide ribosomal RNA is filed under the name uncultured bacterium. Its description in RNAcentral is "partial 16S ribosomal RNA". It matches the Rfam family "Bacterial small subunit ribosomal RNA", at positions 28 to 507 of the family's 1533-position model. The record is from RNAcentral.
GACGAACGCUGGCGGCGUGCUUAACACAUGCAAGUCGAACGGUGAAGCGCCUUCCUUUUUGGUGGGUGUGGAUGAGUGGCGAGCGGGUGAGUAACACGUGAGUAACCUGCCCCCUUCUUCUGGAUAACCGCAUGAAAGUGUGGCUAAUACGGGAUAUUCUGGGUCUGUCGCAUGAUGGGUCUGGGAAAGAUAUUGUUUCGGUGGGGGAUGGGCUCGCGGCCUAUCAGCUUGUUGGUGGGGUGAUGGCCUACCAAGGCGGUGACGGGUAGCCGGCCUGAGAGGGUGGACGGUCACACUGGGACUGAGACACGGCCCAGACUCCUACGGGAGGCAGCAGUGGGGAAUAUUGCACAAUGGGCGCAAGCCUGAUGCAGCGACGCCGCGUGAGGGAUGGAGGCCUUCGGGUUGUGAACCUCUUUCGCCAGUGAAGCAGGCCUGCCUCGUUUGUGGGUGGGUUGACGGUAGCUGGAUAAGAAGCGCCGGCUAGCUACGUG